GCGCCUUUGAUAUUUUCUUACCUAGGUAUUUUGCACUAAAUAAAGUCCAAAGGCUCGCGGUACAGACUGACCUACCAAAAUAGAGUACCAGUCCAUCUCUAGAGUAUGUUAUUCCUGUGCUGUGAUAAAUGAUGUCGCCUCCUUUACUCAUAACAGACCCAGAUUUUUCAGCUGCUGAACAUGCUCAGGCGGAAGUGGCGGAGGAGACCAAUCAGAUCCCGUCAUCUCACCAUCGACAUCCUCGACAACAUAUUCUUUUGUGAGCAUCCUCUUUGCAAGUAUGUGAUAAUGCCGUUGCCAAAUUCGCUGUCCAACCAUAGUAGCUACUAAAACACUAUAGAAUAUGCCUAUCACCGUAAAUAGUCCCAGAACAAUCAAAGCCAUUAUAAAUAACAAUGGCAGCCCUGCUUCACCAGCACCUCCCAAGCAACCACAUUCACCAGCAGCACUUGCACAGCUUUCAAAGCAAGUGGUACAGUCAGUCCACAUACAAAGAGUGCCAGGUAAAUGGCAGUCUGCACACAUUCCAGGCUGACAGCAACAAAGACAUAAUUCUCGGCAAGGCUGAGCCAAAUCAUUGCGAACUCUUCGAUCAUAACAAGUAAUGAAGCACCCAGACAGCCCCAGCAAAGCAAAAAACAAUAGUGCACCACAUAUGUAAUAGAAACUAAGCUCAUUAUCAAAGCCCCAUGCAUGUC
Molecule: unclassified non-coding RNA, 698 nt
Filed under: Hevea brasiliensis (rubber tree)
Lineage: Eukaryota; Viridiplantae; Streptophyta; Magnoliopsida; Malpighiales; Euphorbiaceae
Source: RNAcentral